AUACGGAGGGUGCAAACGUUGUUCGGAAUUACUGGGCGUAAAGCGCGCGUAGGCGGUUUGUUAAGUCAGAUGUGAAAGCCCAAGGCUCAACCUUGGACGUGCAUUUGAAACUGGCAGACUUGAGUACUGGAGGGGAUGGUGGAAUUCCCGGUGUAGAGGUGAAAUUCGUAGAUAUCGGGAGGAAUACCGGUGGCGAAGGCGACCAUCUGGCCAGAUACUGACGCUGAGGUGCGAAAGCAUGGGGAGCAAACAGAAUUAGAUACCCCAGUAGUCC
This 274-nucleotide ribosomal RNA is filed under the name uncultured bacterium. RNAcentral's name for it is "partial 16S ribosomal RNA". It matches the Rfam family "Bacterial small subunit ribosomal RNA", at positions 523 to 796 of the family's 1533-position model. The record is from RNAcentral.